Molecule: long non-coding RNA, 967 nt
Organism: Astyanax mexicanus (Mexican tetra)
Lineage: Eukaryota; Metazoa; Chordata; Actinopteri; Characiformes; Acestrorhamphidae
Exons: 2
Source: RefSeq, a predicted model, not a curated record
GGAAGAUUAUAAAAUAACAAGCUUAGCUUAAGAUAAUCAUGCUUGCUAAAACCUUAACCUAAUGCUUACCUAAUGAUUAAAACACAUAUAAGCCUUAACUAUGAUUAAAACACAUAUUACACAAAUAGAUCUAUGAAAGCUACAAAUCUAUACUCUACUAAUCAUUAAAUUACUGAAUCAAGAAUUAGCCACUAAUUUACACGUAUACAUUUUAUAUUUUUAUAUUUGAUUAAUUGAAUCACUAAAUGCCUCUCAUAUUAAACAAGCAAUGACUUGUGUGUGUGUCUCUGACAUUUGAAUGGCUCAACCGAGAAAGCACGCUUCCUCGUCUUACUGGUAAACAUCUUGAGGUUACAGAGGCUAGCAGACUAAAAGAGUUCCUCUUUUACUCCUGGGCUCUAGAGGAGUUCCUCUUUUCCGCCUACGUUCUAGGAAAGGUCAGCAACAGGAGAGACGAUUAACACACCAGUAAAAAACAUACAUUUUCUAGCCUUACAGUUAAAGAUUGCGUCUAACAAAAUUAUACAUGCAGCUUCAAGCUAUGUUAAAAUAUACUAACUAAUUAAUCUUACUGUAGAAUGUAGCAAAAUUAUUAUCAAUAAAACAGAGUAUGAACUAAAGAGGAACUGUGCCUUGCUGACCUUAAGACAUGCCUUGUCACCUUGGCAAGGGAAGUAACGGACACCUACGUUUUCUCAGAAGUAAAGGUUAAGACAACUUUCAAGUUCCUCAGAAGUCUGGAAAAAUGAAGUAAACAAUAUGAUAUACCAUAUUUGGAAGGAUAGCAUAAAAAUUAGAAGCCACCUAGCAACAAGGUACGUCACAGAAGGGUAUACGUCACCCAAGGGUAUAAGGAUGGAGUCAGAAAGGCCGAGGUUCAGAAGAACUGGGGUAACGUCUUAGAAUGCAUGCCUGUAAUUGUUCUUCUCCAGAAUUCUGAAAUAAAAUCAUACUUGUUCAUUCUCAA